This 200-nucleotide ribosomal RNA is filed under the name uncultured bacterium. RNAcentral's name for it is "partial 16S ribosomal RNA". It matches the Rfam family "Bacterial small subunit ribosomal RNA", at positions 29 to 258 of the family's 1533-position model. The record is from RNAcentral.
AACGAACGCUGGCGGCGUGGAUAAGACAUGCAAGUCGAACGCCCCGCAAGGGGAGUGGCAGACGGGUGAGUAACGCGUGGGAAUCUACCUAGUUCUACGGAACAACAGAGGGAAACUUCUGCUAAUACCGUAUACGCCCUAAGGGGGAAAGAUUUAUCGGAAUUAGAUGAGCCCGCGUAAGAUUAGCUAGUUGGUGGGGU